GCCAGACAUCUCCUCCGCGGCAGACAUGGGCUCCUGGGCGAUCCGCUGUCUCCUGUCGCUGGCCUGCCUGGCCGGCGUCCUGGGCUCCGUAGUCGACAAAGGCCACAGCGGCUGCGGCGAGUGCCGGCCGGAGACGUGCCCGCGGAGCCCGGACAAGUGCCCGGCGGGCGCCGUGCCCGACCCGUGCGGCUGCUGCGCCGCGGGGGUGUGCGGCGCCGCGGAGGGACACAAGUGCCACAACGCCUCGCUGCCGCAGCUGCCGCCCGAGGCGCGCAAGUACCCGCCGUGCGGCGACCACCUCGCCUGCCUGCUGCGCCAGGACCUGCGCCCCUACAUGGACCUGCCCGAGGCGCUGUGCGCGUGCCGGGAGACGGAGGUCGCGUGCGGCUCCGACAACAGGACCUACGACAGCGUCUGCCAGCUGAAGCAGGAGGCGCGCCUGAAGGGGUUCCCCAACGACCUGUUCCUCAAGCACUGGGGGCCCUGCCGCUCAGUGCCGGAGAUAGUGUCCGGGCCGCAGGACUCGUCCAGCGCGCCGGGGGAGGCCCUCGCCCUGGACUGCGAGGUGAAGGGCUACCCCAUCCCCGCCGUCGACUGGGAGUUCCGCUCCGAGGACGGCUCCACCAGGAUGCUGCCCAGUGACGACCAGUACGUGGCGGUGCAGGUCCGCGGCGGGCCCGAGCCCUACAUGGUGACGUCGUGGGUGCAGAUCGCCAGCCUGCGGCACAAGGACUCAGGGGUGUACACGUGCGUGGCCGCCAGCUCGGAGGGCGUCAGCCGCGCCGCCGCCACCGUCGGCGUCAGGGGCUAGCGCUCCCUGGGCGCCCCUGAGACUGCAGUCGAGGUCGGCACACGUGCGCUCUUACAGCGGGUCUCAUCCUCAGUCUGCAGCUCGGAGAUUAGCCGUGGAAGAUUUUGAUUGGUGCCGCUUGAUUAACAACAAACUGCUAAAUAGAGAGUACCUGAACUAAUACGUUUAGUAUAAUAACAAUGUAGAUGAUAAGUUGACUAAAUAUUAAAAAAAGUGUGAAAUGUUUAAACGUGCCAUAUGAUGUAGAAUAUUUUGUUUUUAAUGUGUUGCACUAUCAGAAAAGGAAAUUGAGAAUAUAACGAAUAAGGUAGCUGUUGUUAAUUUUGAUACAGUUGUACACAUGUUUCUAUAUUUUGUUGAGCUGAUGUGGUAACAAAUUUUGUAAACAUUUUAUACAAGUUUUCACUAAAUAUUAAAACAAAAAACUCAAAUUGCAAA
Bacillus rossius redtenbacheri is the source of this 1249-nucleotide RNA transcript. It is a transcript of the gene named insulin-like growth factor-binding protein-related protein 1, with no coding region annotated. The record is from RefSeq and is a predicted model, not a curated record. NCBI's taxonomy places the organism in Eukaryota, Metazoa, Arthropoda, Insecta, Phasmatodea, Bacillidae. The transcript is spliced from 6 exons.